Molecule: long non-coding RNA, 579 nt
Organism: Aegilops tauschii subsp. strangulata
Lineage: Eukaryota; Viridiplantae; Streptophyta; Magnoliopsida; Poales; Poaceae
Source: RefSeq, a predicted model, not a curated record
CCCGACCCCCUCCCGUUUCCUCCCACCCCUCACGCCGCGCCACCCUGCCUCCUCUCCUCCCGUGGCCGUCGACCACCCUCCCCGCCCCGCGUCUUCGCUCAGUCGCCGACUCGCUCCCCGCCAGCCAUCCUCCCUACCCGCCGCCGCCACCAUCCUCCCCGUCCGCCGCCGCCGCCACCAUCCUCCCAGUCCGUCGUCGCCACGCCAUCCCUGCCACCUACCCGACGGCACUGUGAAGGACGCGACCAAAGAGGGAGGGCGUCGCCGGUGUGGUGGAGGGUGAAGGAGGUGCACGUGGCAAGGUUGUCGUGCCUCCCUGCGGAUCCGUGCUGGCCGGCGACGAGGUGGCCACCAGGGUGCAGCACGCUCCAUACUACGACGUCAACUGCCACCACCGGGCUCCCCCGAAGAUUGGUUGGAUAGAGAUGGCUCGAAGGUUUUGUGGGUAGAAUGUGAGAUAUCUCAAUUAAAGUUCCGUGAAGAAAGAUCCCAAAUGAUGGCAUGUUGUGAUGCUACUCGAUGGCUUGUUGGCUAAAUUGAUGGAAGGAUAAUGAAUUAAGGUGAUUAACCCCGGUAGGC